UCAGUUUAGCACUGGAUACAACAGAGGGAGCUUCAAAGCGCCUGUCCACCCAGAGAGGAGGAAGAGGGAACCUCGGUCCGGCUGUGAUGCGUAGCAAGGGCUCUGCGGGCUGAACAACACUUCGAUGGGAUAAACCCUCCCGGUCACAUUUAACGGCUCAUUGUUGUCUGUUUGUAGCGUGCGCGCGUGUAUGUGUAUGUGUGUGCGUGUGUGUGUUCCGCGAGGACCGAGAAAUGCUCUUGUAAGCGCGAGCGUGAAUGACAUUAACGCCUGCGGUUUUGCUUCACACAAAUAUUUGGAGGUGCUCUAACUUGGAGCCGUUUGAACGUUGAGUAAGUUUUGUUUUUGUUUUUUUUUUUUUUGGCUUUUUUAUUUUUAUUUUUUAUUUUUUAUACUUGCAUUACAUUUGAGUCGUUUUUACUUUGAGCACAAAGUCCAGGACAACAUGGGGAGCGAACAGUACUUGCCGGAGCUUAUGGCAGAGAAGGACACGCUGGAUCCGUCUUUUCAGCACUCCCUGCGGCUACUGGAUCAAGAGAUCGAAAAAAUCCAGAAAGAUGAGGGGAAGGAGGAGGAGAAGUUCAUCGACGUCGUCAUCAACAAGAACAUGAAACUGGGCCAGAAAGUUUUAAUACCAGUCAAGCAGUUUCCUAAAUUUAACUUUGUUGGCAAACUCCUCGGGCCACGCGGGAACUCGUUAAAGAGACUACAGGAGGACACUCUCACAAAGAUGUCAAUUCUCGGAAAAGGAUCCAUGAGAGACAAAGAAAAGGAAGAAGAGCUACGACAGAGCGGCGAGGCCAAAUAUCACCACCUGAACGAAGACCUGCACGUCCUCAUCGAGGUGUUCGCCCCGCCCGCUGAGGCCUACGCCAGGAUGGGUCACGCUCUGGAGGAGAUCAAGAAGUUUCUCAUACCAGAUUACAAUGAUGAGAUCAGACAGGCCCAGCUGCAGGAGCUCACAUACCUGAACGGCGGCUCCGAGGAUGCCAAGGUGCCAUCGGUGAGGGGCAAGUCAGCCGCCCGUGGAAGAGGGACACCUGUUCCAGGGCCUCCCAGGAGUCGAGGAGGAGUUCCUCCCCUGCAUGCAGCGGUGCCCCGAGGAGCGGCACCCAGAGGAGCCCCACCCAGCCGGGCUCCAUCCUCCAGAGGGAGGGGGGUGCAGAGAGCCAGAGGCGCCCCGCUAGCUGCCGGAUACCGACCGGCUCCUCCCAUAGUUCAGGACACGUACGGAGAAUAUGAAUAUGACGAUGGCUACGGAACGGCUUAUGAUGACCAGGGAUAUGAAUCGUACGACAACAACUACAGUAAUCAAGGACAAAACUCAGAUGACUACUAUGAAUACGGACACAGUGGGGAAUCGUAUGAUUCAUAUGGUCAGGAAGAGUGGGCAAACAAUCGCGGCAAGGCACCGUCGGCACGAGCAGCCAAGGGAGUGUACAGAGAGCAGCCAUACUCCAGAUAUUGAACUGUUUAUACAACCUGCACCUGAGUCCUCAUGGCUGUUUCAACCCAAGCCGAUGUCCCAGCUACACCAGGUCAUCUGUCCAGUUACCUCACUGGUGCUAAAGACUUGACGAACCAUACACGAGCUUCCCUCCAAACGUUGAAGUCUGCACAAUGUCAAACAGAAUCCUGUAAAGGCCAUCAUCCAGUUUCACAAGGGAUACCCCCCCCCCCCCCCCUCCCCUCCCCCCUCUCCGGUCAAACAGUGGACUUUCAAAUUUUCACAGUCUAGACUGCGGUGAAUCCUGCGGGGGACGACAUGUGGAUGGACCUGUUGAGAUGGAUGGGGGGGUUGGGGUGGGUGGGAUGGGGGGGCUAUAAUACAUAUAUCACACAUCGUCAUUUCCAGGAGAAAGGGAGUGAGAGAGGAAACCCGUGAGGUAAAUGGAGUUCCUCAUCCUCUGGGACGAUCUGUCGGAGAAUAUUUAUCUCAGAGCUUCACUGGCUCUGUGUACAUUUUACAUAAACACAGGAGUGCUCUGAACUGACUGUGAACCUGCCUCAUGUCUUUUCUUGAUUCACUUGUUAGAGGGAAUGUGUCUACCUCUUACAUUAGGCAUUAACCGUCGCCUACGAGGGAGGGUGAGUAAAUAAAUAAUGCAGUAAGAGAAUGACAUCGUAUUUCUAGCAGAGACACUUCUAAAGUCAUAUUGUUGUGCUCAUUAACCUAUAUCCUAUUGACUCCAAUGAAUACAUAAUUCACCGAGUGCCUUAUUCUUGCAUUGUUAUGACAGUUUUGGAUGUUUAGUUGCCAUUGCUGGAUGUUUUUUCUUUCUUCCUUCAUUUAUGCUGCUUUUUUGGUUUCCUGUGUGAAUUACCAUGGUGCUGGAAAGCACCACUCUGCCACAGACCAGAGUAAGUCUGUUCCAGAUGUAUUGUUUAAUCAGAAUCGACUUCAGUGGAUAUUACAAUUCCAAAAUAGCUUUCUAUCGGAUGGAGAGCUUCAUUCUGUCUUGUGCAUAAGUCCAGAUAGGCUGAUCCGUAUUCCGCACAGUUGUAUGCCCUUAGUGGCAGACAAUAGUUUUCCAUUAGAGGGAGUGAUUCUCUCUGGAGCCUCGGGCCAAGCCUCAGACAAUAACAUGGCAACCUAAAGCUUGCAUCUCGGGCUCUGGGAGUCAACUCUCAUCACCCCCAGGGGCUGAUUCCUCCUCUGAAGUGGCUUAAAACGACAGGCUUAUCUGAAGUGAGCUUGUCCGAGUUAAUAAAGGAAUAGCAGCUUAUUUGAUUAAGAAUGCAUACAGAGGAGGAUGUAGUGAUCUUUCACUGGGAGACAAGUUCAUUCCAACACUAGAAUACAGAUCAAUGGGUACAGGGACCACUGGAGGUGAUUUUAAAAGGAUUCAGAGGAAAUUAGAAAUAGCUUAAAGGCCCAGAAAUCCUGUUCUCUCACUUUCUUAAUACGAGCAUUGAGUCCCCACAUGUUGUUCUGCCACAGUUUGAACAGUUUUGUCCAUUCUUUUCUUGCUGCUUUAAAGUGGGCGGGGCUUAGCCGUCACGUAUUUCCACGCACAUAUCAGUGUGGCAACAUUUAAAUGAAGAUAUAAUGAGUUUUGGGAUUCUUUGCUUGUGUUACCUUCAUUGUCAAUCCAAUAUGAACAAAUCCCACCCACACACUCCUGAAUAUAUAGCAUCUGGUUAGCUUAGCUUAGCAUCAAAACUGGGAGCAGGGUGAAAGAGCUAGCCUGGCUCUUCCCAAAGCUAAUUAAAUCCACCAAUCUUCUUUUAAUUUUACAUGCUCUUAUACCUGAUCUUUUUUUCUUUUCGCAAAUUUUUUUUUUUGAAGCAACAGCUUUUUGAUAUGUGAAGUGUGCUUAUCCACUUGUGUUCCUCUUAAUCAUGUUCAGGAUCUAAAGCGGCCUCCUCCUGCCUUUUGUUCUGUAAUUAACUGGAGGGCUCUUAAUCUUGCUGAGAUUAAAACGCCCUGAUCAAUGUUGAAGUGUCCCUCUGUCUCCUUUAGUAGUGAGCACUAAUGUGACCAGGGGUCAGUGUGCGUCGCUUGCUAAGUGGAGCCUCAGAUUGUGAAGGAUCGAUUAUUACAGGGCCUUGAGUGAACAGGGGUGAAUAAUAGCAAUAAUAAGGGAGAGAGAAUGUUCCACUAAUGCGAUGCCCGGCAAUGGAGACGACGAUGACGACAACGACGACGAUGACGACGACAUAAUCAUUAUUCCUUAUUUAUCUUGGAAGUAUAAUCACUUAUAUAAUUAGCAUUUUAGCCAAAUCUGCGAACAAGAGAUGAAGAAAACGAGCGAGAGAAAUAAAAGCAAGGGUAUCAGAUUAGACGCCAGGGGAGAAAAGCAAAUAUUAAAAAAAUAUCAGAGGCUUUCAAAGAAACAAAAACAACAAGAAAAAUCAGCCACAGGUAGACAAAAGGCUGGGGGGGCUGGGGGGGGGGCGACACCAAAGGGGAACACAAGGUGAGAACAGGUGCACACAAAGUCUUUGUAGAGGAAAGAUAGCAGUUUAGAACAACACUGAAAAACAAAACUUUUUAAAUACAUGUGUAUGCAAAGUCAGUAUACAUACCUGUCCACCAUAUGCUGUGUACCAAUUGUGCAUAUUGUACCUCAUGUUUCUGUAUAAUUUCCAUGUGCUGUCAUUCGUUAAACUCAACUCAGUCUGUAAGUAAAUACAUGUUUAGGUUGUAGAUGCAGAUGCAGUAAUAAAGUUUUCCUCUUGCUGAUAAAAAAAAAAAAAAGAGUGAGCAAUAAU
This is an RNA transcript of Seriola aureovittata, 4215 nucleotides long. It is a transcript of the gene named KH domain containing, RNA binding, signal transduction associated 3, with no coding region annotated. Lineage: Eukaryota; Metazoa; Chordata; Actinopteri; Carangiformes; Carangidae. The transcript has 11 exons. The record is from RefSeq and is a predicted model, not a curated record.